Molecule: ribosomal RNA, 460 nt
Filed under: uncultured bacterium
Lineage: Bacteria
Description: partial 16S ribosomal RNA
Rfam family: Bacterial small subunit ribosomal RNA
Source: RNAcentral
CCUACGGGAGGCUGCAGUGAGGAAUAUUGGUCAAUGGCCGGAAGGCUGAACCAGCCAUGCCGCGUGAAGGUCAGUGCCCUAUGGGCGUUAAACUUCUUUUGUGCGGGAGCAAUAAUGGUCACGUGUGGCCAGACGAGAGUACCGUACGAAUAAGCAUCGGCUAACUCCGUGCCAGCAGCCGCGGUAAUACGGGGGAUGCAAGCGUUAUCCGGAUUUAUUGGGUUUAAAGGGUGCGUAGGCUGUGAGGUAAGUCAGCGGGGAAAUGCCCCCGCUCAACGGGGUGAAGUGCCAUUGAUACUGCCUUGCUGGAAUGCGGAUGCCGUGGGAGGAAGGUGUGGUGUAGCGGUGAAAUGCAUAGAGAUCACACAGAACACCGAUUGCGAAGGCAUCUCACGAAUCCGCGAUUGACGCUGAUGCACGAAAGCGUGGGUAUCAAACAGGAUUAGAUACCCCUGUAGUC